UAAACUGCAGACCCGCUGCCAACCGCACCUUCCGAUGUAUGAAGAUAGAAAUAUGUUAACUAUUGAGAUCAAGAGACUUCUGAUUGUGCAAUGAGGUCAGCUUGAGUGGACCCAGGCACUCAAAUGGAGUCCCAGAGGCUGGACAGAUUUGAUGAUGAAUUUUAGCAGACAGAAUCCCUGCCCUCUGCAGCUGUGAAGCCCUGGGAAAUAAUCCACACAAAAGAAUUUCGGAAAUGAAAGCUGUCUUUGCCAUCUUCUGUUUAAUUAACACAGGUAUACCAGUUUAACCCCAUUUAUCAAGAUAUUACAGAUGAAACAGUAACUAAUAGAUGAGAAUGUUACCAUUAGGGCUGCAAAGCAUGGUUCAAAACUAAUCAUGGUGACUAUUGCAUUGUGGGCAAGAUCAGGCUUCUUGACUUUCUGGCCAGGA
This is a long non-coding RNA of Terrapene triunguis (Three-toed box turtle), 430 nucleotides long. NCBI's taxonomy places the organism in Eukaryota, Metazoa, Chordata, Testudines, Emydidae. The record is from Ensembl.